CUUCACAAUGUGCGAAAGCACGAUGAGGGAAUCCCAAGUGCCAGCUCGUAAGAGUUGGCUGUUUUUCUGUCUAAAACACAGAGAGAGUAAGAGCUGGGUAAGACGGGUGCCAGCCGCCGCGGUAAUACCUGCAGCUCGAGUGGUGGCCGCUAUUAUUGGGCCUAAAACGUCCGUAGCCGGUUUAGUAAAUGCCUGGGUAAAUCGUGUAGCUUAACUAUACGAAUUCCGGGUAGACUGCUAAACUUGAGACCGGGAGAGGCUAGAGGUACUCCUGGGGUAGAGGUGAAAUUCUGUAAUCCUGGGGGGACCACCAGUGGCGAAGGCGUCUAGCUAGAACGGAUCUGACGGUGAGGGACGAAGCCCUGGGGCGCAAACCGGAUUAGAUACCCGGGUAGUCCAGGGUGUAAACGCUGCUUGCUUGAUGUUAGUCGGGCUCCGAGCCCGAUUAGUGUCGGAGAGAAGUUGUUAAGCAAGCUGCCUGGGAAGUACGGUUGCAAG
Molecule: ribosomal RNA, 498 nt
Filed under: uncultured archaeon 63-A19
Lineage: Archaea
Description: bacterial SSU rRNA
Rfam family: Archaeal small subunit ribosomal RNA
Source: RNAcentral